UAAUACGAAGGGUGCGAGCGUUGUUCGGAAUUAUUGGGCGUAAAGCGCACGUAGGCGGCCUUGUAAGUCUGACUGUGAAAGUCCGGGGCUCAACCCCGGGAUUGCAGGGGAUACUGCGAGGCUUGAGACAAGUAGAGGUUGGUAGAAUUCCGGGUGUAGCGGUGGAAUGCGUAGAGAUCCGGAGGAAUACCAGAGGCGAAGGCGGCCAACUGGGCUUGUUCUGACGCUGAGGUGCGAAAGCGUGGGGAGCGAACAGGAUUAGAUACCCUGGUAGUCCACGCCGUAAACGAUGGGCACUAGAUGCCGGUGGGAACGACCCCAUCGGUGUCGAAGCUAACGCAUUAAGUGCCCCGCCUGGGGAGUACGGCCGCAAGGCUG
RNAcentral lists this ribosomal RNA (378 nucleotides) under uncultured bacterium. RNAcentral's name for it is "bacterial SSU rRNA". It matches the Rfam family "Bacterial small subunit ribosomal RNA", at positions 521 to 896 of the family's 1533-position model. The record is from RNAcentral.